Molecule: ribosomal RNA, 479 nt
Filed under: uncultured Armophorida
Lineage: Eukaryota; Ciliophora; Armophorea; Armophorida
Description: SSU rRNA
Rfam family: Eukaryotic small subunit ribosomal RNA
Source: RNAcentral
AUAUUAAGUUGUUGCAGUUAAAAAGCUCGUAGUUGGAUAUCUGGAGUGGUCUGUCGUUUACUCUGUAGGCGGCCGACCAUAUCCAUCCUUCUGUUAACGUGUUCUGGUAUCCGUAUUGGACAUGGGCUCAGAUAUUUUACCUUGAGAAAAUUAAGUGUUUCAGCAGGCAAGGCCGGAAUACAAAAGCAUGGAAUAAUGGAAUUGACACAACUCUGUGGUUGGCCAGAGAAGUGUAAUGAUUAAUAGGAACAGUUGGGGGCAUUAGUAUUUAAUUGUCAGAGGUGAAAUUCUUGGAUUUGUUAAAGACUAACUAAAGCCGAAAGCAUUUUGCCAAGGAUGUUUUCAUUAAUCAAGAACGAAAGUUAGGGGAUCAAAGACGAUCAGAUACCGUCGUAGUCUUAACCCAUAAACGAUGCCGACUAAGAUUGGAGGAGAUAAUUGAGCUCCUUCAGCAUCUAAGGAGAAAUCAAAGUCUUUGG